This 491-nucleotide ribosomal RNA is filed under the name uncultured bacterium. RNAcentral's name for it is "partial 16S ribosomal RNA". It matches the Rfam family "Bacterial small subunit ribosomal RNA", at positions 29 to 507 of the family's 1533-position model. The record is from RNAcentral.
AGUGAACGCUGGCGGUAGGCCUAACACAUGCAAGUCGAACGGCAGCACAGUAAGAGCUUGCUCUUACGGGUGGCGAGUGGCGGACGGGUGAGGAAUACAUCGGAAUCUACUUUUUCGUGGGGGAUAACGUAGGGAAACUUACGCUAAUACCGCAUACGACCUACGGGUGAAAGCAGGGGAUCUUCGGACCUUGCGCGAUUGAAUGAGCCGAUGUCGGAUUAGCUAGUUGGCGGGGUAAAGGCCCACCAAGGCGACGAUCCGUAGCUGGUCUGAGAGGAUGAUCAGCCAACCUGGACCUGAGCACCGGCCCAACUCCCACGGGGAGGCGGCGGUGGGGAUUUUUGGCCAUUGGGCCAAACCCUGUCCCAGCCAUCCCGCGUGGUUGAAGAAGGCCUUCGGUUUGUAAAGCCCUUUUGUUGGGAAAGAAAAGCAGAAGGUUAAUCCCCCGCUGUCUGACGGUACCCAAAGAAUAAGCACCGGCUAACUUCGUG